Molecule: non-coding RNA, 137 nt
Organism: Hordeum vulgare subsp. vulgare (domesticated barley)
Lineage: Eukaryota; Viridiplantae; Streptophyta; Magnoliopsida; Poales; Poaceae
Source: Rfam
UAUAUACUCCCUCCGUUCCAAAAUGCUUGUCUUAGAUUUUGUCUAGAUAUGAAUGUAUAUAGUCAUAUUUUAAUAUUUAGAUACAUUCAUUUCUAUAAAAACCUAAGUGAAAAAUAUUGAGACGGAGGGAGUAUAUA